AGCGAACGCUGGCGGCAGGCUUAACACAUGCAAGUCGAGCGGGCGUAGCAAUACGUCAGCGGCAGACGGGUGAGUAACGCGUGGGAACGUACCUUUUGGUUCGGAACAACACAGGGAAACUUGUGCUAAUACCGGAUAAGCCCUUACGGGGAAAGAUUUAUCGCCGAGAGAUCGGCCCGCGUCUGAUUAGCUAGUUGGUAGGGUAAUGGCCUACCAAGGCGACGAUCAGUAGCUGGUCUGAGAGGAUGAUCAGCCACAUUGGGACUGAGACACGGCCCAAACUCCUACGGGAGGCAGCAGUGGGGAAUAUUGGACAAUGGGGGCAACCCUGAUCCAGCCAUGCCGCGUGAGUGAUGAAGGCCCUAGGGUUGUAAAGCUCUUUUGUGCGGGAAGAUAAUGACGGUACCGCAAGAAUAAGCCCCGGCUAACUUCGUACCAGCCGCCGCCGUAA
RNAcentral lists this ribosomal RNA (451 nucleotides) under uncultured bacterium. Its description in RNAcentral is "partial 16S ribosomal RNA". It matches the Rfam family "Bacterial small subunit ribosomal RNA", at positions 29 to 523 of the family's 1533-position model. The record is from RNAcentral.